AUGAGAAAGCUGAGGCAAACAUGGUUAAAUGACUCAAUCAAAAUAAAAGUGUCUGAGGCCAGAUUUGAACUUGAGAUGACUCUUCUUAGCUCCAAGACAAGCAUUCUAUCUGAUCUAUCACCUAGCUGCAUGUCUAAUAUCUAUUCAAUUCCUUUAGUAAUAUUUUUUACCAGCCCUGUGAGUUUUUUGAGGCAAGAAGCUCCAAGUAAGGGAUAUUUUUUUUUUAACCCAGGCAGAUUGGUACCAUCUCUUCAACUUAACGGUUGCCUAGAACACCGUGGUGUUCCACAACUUGCCCAGGGCCCUACAGACAUUAUGUAUCUGAAAUGGACCUUAAAAUCAGGUCUUCCUAACUCCUGGGUCAGCUCACUAUCCACUCACUAUGACAUAACACCUCAGGUUCCUGGAAAACAAGAAAUGAGGAGGCUGAAUAACUCUACAAAGAAUUAAAUAAGUCCCACAAUUUAAACAAGUAUACCUGUGUCCUUAAACCAAAGUUGAACAUGAGGGGCAACAGAAGAUGUUUAAAAUCAUGACACUGGAUCAAGAAAUCAAAUAGUCAAAAAUCUCAUGGAAAACACAGAAACUUUAUCCUUAGAUAUAGUCAGCCAAGAGAUGAGGAAAUCUAAUCCCAUGCCCAUCUACACUUUUAAUCAGUGCAAUUGUCUUUCAAUACAUAAUAUGAAGCUGAAGCUGUCUAGUUUUUUUUCUCCUUAAUUGACUCCAUUUGCUACAUCACCUUCCUCCAGACUUUAAACAACUAUACAAAAUUUUAUUCAACUGUUCAUUUGUAGAAUGAUCUUCUGUCCUUACUAUAGGCCCAAUCUCUAUAGAAAUCAUCCUCAAGGUCAGUUUCUCCGUUCUGCUUUAUAAAAUCUUAUUGUUAGAUUUAUUACUUUCUGAAACUAUUCAUAUCAAAUCAAAGGUUUCUUAUCUAAGAUAUUAUAAGCUGCAAUUACAUAACAUUUUCUUCUUGUAAUCUUGAUUAUCCCAGAGCAUAUGAAGUAAAAUGCUAAAAAUAAGAACAAAAAAUAAAACUAAUCAGAAUUUACA
Molecule: long non-coding RNA, 1053 nt
Filed under: Monodelphis domestica (gray short-tailed opossum)
Lineage: Eukaryota; Metazoa; Chordata; Mammalia; Didelphimorphia; Didelphidae
Description: lncRNA (ENSMODG00000040350.1)
Source: RNAcentral